This 21-nucleotide non-coding RNA is filed under the name Arabidopsis thaliana (thale cress). Lineage: Eukaryota; Viridiplantae; Streptophyta; Magnoliopsida; Brassicales; Brassicaceae. The record is from RNAcentral.
CAAUACACUUCGGGUAUGCCA